This 468-nucleotide ribosomal RNA is filed under the name uncultured bacterium. RNAcentral describes it as "partial 16S ribosomal RNA". It matches the Rfam family "Bacterial small subunit ribosomal RNA", at positions 28 to 507 of the family's 1533-position model. The record is from RNAcentral.
GACGAACGCUGGCGGCGUGCUUAACACAUGCAAGUCGAACGGAAAGGCCCUGCUUUUGUGGUGUUCUCGAUUGGCGAACGGGUGAGUAACACGUGAGUAACCUGCCCUUGACUUUGGUAUAACUUCAGGAAACUGGGGCUAAUACCGUAUAGGAUCUCCUGCUGCAUUGUGGGGGGUGGAAAUUUUCGGCGGGUGGGGAUGGACUCGCGGCUUAUCAGCUUGUUGGUGGGGUAGUGGCUUACCAAGGCUUUGACGGGUAGCCGGCCUGAGAGGGUGACCGGACACAUUGGGACUGAGAUACGGACCAGAAUCCUAUGGGAGGCAGCAGUGGGGAAUAUUGUACAAUGGGAGGAAGCGUGAUGCAGAAACGCCGCGUGCGGGAUGACGGUCUUCGGGUUGUAAACAGCUUUCGCCUGUGACGAAGCGUGAGUGACGGUAAUGGGUAAAGAAGCACCGGCUAACUACGUG